This 1383-nucleotide ribosomal RNA is filed under the name Triticum aestivum (bread wheat). Its description in RNAcentral is "partial small subunit ribosomal RNA". The record is from RNAcentral. Lineage: Eukaryota; Viridiplantae; Streptophyta; Magnoliopsida; Poales; Poaceae.
CCGUCCCGGUGAUGAAAAGUAACGCUCAUCCUCUUUAUGCGUGCUUGGAUCGGCGGCGGGGUGGGCGUAGGCAGGAGGUAGGGACCAUGCUCGAGACGGGGCGGAGUAAUCACGGGAGGGGUUGAAAUUGAAAGGAGGGAACAAGCGAUUUCUUUCUCCGCUUCAGGUAGUCGUUCCCCCAUCUGAGGUCCUUUCCCUUAAGGAGUUGGUAUGACGGAAAAGUACCUAGUAAGGUCGACUCCUAAUUCCUCUCUUUAAUUGGCGUAGGGCCCCGGCGCGCGCUCACACUACGCGCGUCGAACGGCCGCCGCUACCUAAACGGCACCGACCUGGAGGGGAAGUGGAAGGAGUGCGACGAGGACCGGUGGGCGGACCGCAUGCUGAUGAUGCCGCAGCAGCGGCGGUGGAAGCGGCCGUCGAAGCGCGAGGUCUAGAAGGAGAAGAUGACGAAGCGCGCGACCAUAGCGGUGUGGUACCCGCGGGCGCGGCUCGACGAGGGGAGCAGCUGCUGCAGCGUCGUCGCGCUGCUCCCCAGGGGCGGGCAGGACUGGGGCGACGACCUCCGCAGCUCGCCCCGGCCGCGGCGGCGCCGGCGCCCCCGGGACGACCGGUUGGCCACGGACCGGAAGCACAAGUACCACAAGCAGGGCGAGUAGUAGCAGCAGAAGCUCGCCUCGGUCCGCCUGCAGCAGCGGAUGCGCGAGACGGAGCGGUUGUAUGAGCAGUACCAGCAGACCGAGAGCGGCCUCCGCGGGCCGAGGUACAGCCGGUGGUUCAGGAAGGACCCCGAGUCGCUGCUGCUCCUGCUCCUCUCGCCGCCGCGGCUCCUGUUCACGACGCAGACGGAGCGGCCGUACGCCCUCCUCGUCCGGGAGGCCCUGGACGGCGCCACGCCCGUGGCCAAGGUACUCUUCACGUAGCCGUUCACCGAGUUCUGGCCCGUGGGCUGUACGGGGCACACGGCCCGCGACCAGAACGGCGGCGGCCGGCACGUGCGCCUGGGCAAGCUGCUGAGACAAUCGGGGCAGAUCGAGACAAAGAGGGGACGUAGGUCAGAUUGUUAGUAAGGGUAUCUUUUAGUCUGGGGAUAAGUCGUAGUCUGCGACCUUUACCACUUAACGACCCAUUAAACGAUGAGAGAGAAGAACUAUUACGCAUCAACAGACUUGUUUACAAGCUGACAUCGGACAUUUAUUCCUGACAUGUAAAAAGGAAAAAUGAGACUUCCAACUCUGCUGCCUCAGAACGUACAAAAACACUUUCCACCUCACUAAAUGGUAAGACAAGUUUGCGACGGUUACCACUUAACAACUACUACACAUCAAGACUUGCUUGAACCAAUAUAGCUGCCCGUUACAAGUCAACAUUCAACGUUUUCUCCUG